RNAcentral lists this transfer RNA (72 nucleotides) under Ictidomys tridecemlineatus (thirteen-lined ground squirrel). RNAcentral's name for it is "Spermophilus tridecemlineatus (thirteen-lined ground squirrel) tRNA". It matches the Rfam family "tRNA". Rfam says of the family: Transfer RNA (tRNA) molecules are approximately 80 nucleotides in length. Lineage: Eukaryota; Metazoa; Chordata; Mammalia; Rodentia; Sciuridae. The record is from Rfam by way of RNAcentral.
GUGGAUGUAGCUCAGUUGGUAGAGUGCUUGGCUUGCAUGCAAAAGGCCCUGGGUUCAAUCCUCAGCACUACA